This 758-nucleotide ribosomal RNA is filed under the name uncultured Bacillota bacterium. RNAcentral describes it as "bacterial SSU rRNA". It matches the Rfam family "Bacterial small subunit ribosomal RNA", at positions 576 to 1338 of the family's 1533-position model. The record is from RNAcentral. Lineage: Bacteria; Bacillati; Bacillota.
CGGUUUUUUAAGUCAGAUGUUAAAGCUCACGGCUCAACCGUGGGAUGCAUUUGAAACUGAGAGACUUGAGUCAAGGAGAGGAAAGUGGAAUUCCUAGUGUAGCGGUGAAAUGCGUAGAUAUUAGGAGGAAUACCAGUGGCGAAGGCGACUUUCUGGACUUGUACUGACGCUGAGAAACGAAAGCAUGGGUAGCAAACAGGAUUAGAUACCCUGGUAGUCCAUGCCGUAAACGAUGAGUGCUAGGUGUCGGGGGUCAAACCUCGGUGCCGGAGCUAACGCAUUAAGCACUCCGCCUGGGGAGUACGUACGCAAGUAUGAAACUCAAAGGAAUUGACGGGGACCCGCACAAGCAGCGGAGCAUGUGGUUUAAUUCGAAGCAACGCGAAGAACCUUACCAGGACUUGACAUAUAUAUGACCGGUAUAGAGAUAUACCUUUUCUUCGGAACAUAUAUACAGGUGGUGCAUGGUUGUCGUCAGCUCGUGUCGUGAGAUGUUGGGUUAAGUCCCGUAACGAGCGCAACCCUUAUUUUUAGUUGCCAUCAAGUAAUGUUGGGCACUCUAGAGAGACUGCCGAUGAUAAAUCGGAGGAAGGUGGGGAUGACGUCAAAUCAUCAUGCCCUUUAUGUCCUGGGCUACACACGUGCUACAAUGGCUAGAACAAAGAGCAGCUACAUCGCGAGGUGAUGCUAAUCUCAUAAAUCUAGUCCCAGUUCGGAUUGUUCUCUGCAAUUCGAGAACAUGAAGCCGGAGUUGCUAG